RNAcentral lists this ribosomal RNA (253 nucleotides) under uncultured bacterium. RNAcentral describes it as "partial 16S ribosomal RNA". It matches the Rfam family "Bacterial small subunit ribosomal RNA", at positions 524 to 776 of the family's 1533-position model. The record is from RNAcentral.
UACGAAGGGGGCUAGCGUUGUUCGGAUUUACUGGGCGUAAAGCGCACGUAGGCGGAUCUUUAAGUCAGAGGUGAAAUCCCGGAGCUCAACUUCGGAACUGCCUUUGAUACUGGGGAUCUCGAGUUCGGGAGAGGUGAGUGGAUCUGCGAGUGUAGAGGUGAAAUUCGUAGAUAUUCGCAAGAACACCAGUGGCGAAGGCGGCUCACUGGCCCGAUACUGACGCUGAGGUGCGAAAGCGUGGGGAGCAAACAGG